RNAcentral lists this ribosomal RNA (440 nucleotides) under uncultured bacterium. Its description in RNAcentral is "partial 16S ribosomal RNA". It matches the Rfam family "Bacterial small subunit ribosomal RNA", at positions 338 to 795 of the family's 1533-position model. The record is from RNAcentral.
CCUACGGGAGGCAGCAGUGGGGAAUAUUGCACAAUGGGGGGAACCCUGAUGUAGCGACGCCGCGUGGGUGAAGAAGCGCCUCGGCGCGUAAAGCCCUGUCAGCAGGGAAGAAAAUGACGGUACCUGAAGAAGAAGCCCCGGCUAACUACGCGCCAGCAGCCGCGGUAAUACGUAGGGGGCAAGCGUUAUCCGGAUUUACUGGGUGUAAAGGGGGCGCAGACGGCGAUGCAAGCCAGGAGUGAAAGCCCGGGGCCCAACCCCGGGACUGCUCUUGGAACUGCGUGGCUGGAGUGCAGGAGGGGCAGGCGGAAUUCCUGGUGUAGCGGUGGAAUGCGUAGAUAUCAGGAGGAACACCGGUGGCGAAGGCGGCCUGCUGGACUGCAACUGACGUUGAGGCUCGAAAGCGUGGGGAGCAAACAGGAUUAGAUACCCGAGUAGUC